CAGGAUGAUACGACAAAGAAAUCAACUUUAUUUAUUUGCAUAUAUAUAAGUUUAAUUGGAAUGUGCAGUUUCAUGUGUAAAUUAUUCUCACAAGUUAUAUGUAACACUCAUUCCAUCUCAUCUUAUUGUGAGUACAAUACAUGUGCACUUACUGAUAGCGAAAGCAGUGGUUACUUUGAAUGCAAAUCCUGCAUAGUGAAAAUUUGACACAUGUUGGCAUCUUAUUCAACUUUUAGAUGGUACCGUGCCAAAUAAAAUUGAGCUUUCCAUGAAAUAGGAAUAUCAAAUCUCAUUUUACUUAGAUAAACUAAUACAUGUUUCCCUAUGCUGUCUACUCCAACCCUAUUGGAACUUCAAGGAAUACGUUAUGAUAGAAAAAAAUAUAGGUUUUAAGGCUUCUCCAUCCAUAAAUUUGGGUUGGGUAAAUCACUUGCCAUAACUCAUUAAUCAUCUUGAUAAACUUCAAAAGAAGUAAAAGCUUGACAUUGAGAAUCCAGCAGCAUAAUUAGGAAUUACAGGCUAUCACAAGACACAUAACUGAGUUUUCUAUAUCAUGUUCACUUUACAUAAGUAAGUUUUUCAAGUUGUACGUACAUUGUAAAGCUCAAAUUCUUAGUAUAAGGUAUUUAAACGAGUUCACAAUUCAAGCAAAUUAUUUACUCGGUCCUUUUUUCCUGUUCAAAAAAUCCCCCCCUUUUAUUUUUAAUAUAUUUUCUUUCAGUUUCUCUCGAUUGCAAACACAAAAUUUUCACAUUAACAUCCGAUUGCGAACAUAAAAUGGGGUUACUUGAGAGUUCAUGGAAUAUAGAAAUCAUUUGAAACAGAUUACGAACUAGGGUUCCAGAGAAUUCAUGGAAAAUCACAACAGAUUAAGAUUUGUGAGACUACUUACCGAUUAAUAGCAAAUAGAUGCUUUAGUCGAAUAAUUUUGGAUGAACAACACCCAAAUUUCCACAACUUGAAGCCAAUUUAUAGAGAAAUCGACUAGGGUUCUUGAGAUCGCAUAAAUCACAUCAUUCCCCUAUUGCAGAGUUUUGUGACCUUUUCCCCCAAUUCAGUUAUGUCAUCCGCUAGUACUUCUAGCGGAGUAGGGGCAUAAAAGUCUAGAUUUUAUUAUAACGUCGUCCGCUAGUAGUUUUAGAGGACGUAGUUUUUCCAAUUUCAAUCUGGG
RNAcentral lists this long non-coding RNA (1171 nucleotides) under Panax ginseng (ginseng). Its description in RNAcentral is "long non-coding RNA (PGIN_LNC018854)". The record is from RNAcentral. Lineage: Eukaryota; Viridiplantae; Streptophyta; Magnoliopsida; Apiales; Araliaceae.